UACGAGAGGCCCAAACGUUAUUCGGAAUUAUUGGGCGUAAAGCGCACGCAGGCGGUCUCUUAAGUUUCGAGUGACAGGUGGUGGCUCAACUGCCACAGGCCUUGGAAAACUGGGAGACUUGAGGACUUCAGAGGGAUGCGGAAUUCCAGGUGGAGCGGUGAAAUGCGUAGAGAUCUGGAAGAACACCAAAGGCGAAGGCAUCAUCCUGGGAAGUAACUGACGCUCAUGUGCGAAAGCUAGGGGAGCGAACGGG
RNAcentral lists this ribosomal RNA (253 nucleotides) under uncultured bacterium. RNAcentral's name for it is "partial 16S ribosomal RNA". It matches the Rfam family "Bacterial small subunit ribosomal RNA", at positions 524 to 776 of the family's 1533-position model. The record is from RNAcentral.